CCUACGGGAGGCAGCAGUGAGGAAUAUUGGUCAAUGGACGAGAGUCUGAACCAGCCACGUCGCGUGAAGGAUGACUGCCCUAUGGGUUGUAAACUUCGUUUAUAUGGGAAUAAAAUGUUCCACGUGUGUGAUUUUGUCUGUACCAUAUGAAUACGGAUCGGCGGACUCCGUGCCAGCAGCCACGGUAAUACGGGGGAUGCAAGCGUUAUCCGGGUGUAUUGGGUUUAAAGGGUGCGUAGGCUGUGAGGUCAGUCAGCGGUGAAAUGCCCCAGCUCAACGGGGUGCAGUGCCAUUGAUACUGCCGUGCUGGAAUGCGGAUGCCGUGGGAGGAAUGUGUGGUGUAGCGGUGAAAUGCAUAGAUAUCACACAGAACACCGAUUGCGAAGGCAUCUCACGAAGCCGCGAUUGACGCUGAGGCACGAAAGCGUGGGUAUCAAACAGGAUUAGAUACCCGGGUAGUC
This 461-nucleotide ribosomal RNA is filed under the name uncultured bacterium. Its description in RNAcentral is "partial 16S ribosomal RNA". It matches the Rfam family "Bacterial small subunit ribosomal RNA", at positions 338 to 795 of the family's 1533-position model. The record is from RNAcentral.